RNAcentral lists this transfer RNA (64 nucleotides) under Plateros sp. UPOL A00489. Its description in RNAcentral is "tRNA-Phe". The record is from RNAcentral. Lineage: Eukaryota; Metazoa; Arthropoda; Insecta; Coleoptera; Lycidae.
UUUUAAUAGCUUAUAUUAGAGCAUAAUAUUGAAGAUAUUAGGGAAGAAUUUUUCUUUAAAAUAU